Molecule: non-coding RNA, 45 nt
Organism: Schistosoma haematobium
Lineage: Eukaryota; Metazoa; Platyhelminthes; Trematoda; Strigeidida; Schistosomatidae
Source: Rfam
AUCCGGUUGAUGAGUCCCAAAUAGUAUGAGACGCGCGUCCUGGAU